UAGUAGUAGUAGUAGCAGUAGUAGUAGUAGUAGUAGUAGUAGUAGUAGGAGUAGUAGUAGCAGUUGUAAAUAUUUUUCUUUGUAAUUGUAGUUAUAUUAUAAUAAUGAUAACGGUAAUGAUGAUAAUAAUAAUAGUGAUAAUAAUGAUGAUGAUGAUAAUAAUAAUAAUAAUAAUAAUAAUAAUAAUAAUAAUAAUAAUAAUAAUAAUAAUAAUAAUAAUAAUUUAUGAAUAAUAAUAAUAAUGAUGAUCGUGGUAACAAAACAGCAAGAAGAGUGAGUGUGUGAGGCAGUUUGAAGGUCUGUACAUACGUUCACACAUUUACCAAAACUCGCAAAUUCUCCUUUAUUUUUUGUUUAGUUUCCUGAAAUCUAACUUCGUGAUUCUAUAAAUGCGAACUGAAUUGCGACAAAACUAAAAUGAAAUAGUAAAAUAAGCAAAAAUCCAUCUGGAAAAAAAAAAAACUGUACACAACCACACACACACACACACACACACACACACACACACACAUUUGACGUUCACACAGAGAAAUCUUGUGGUUGUGAUGGUAAAUGUAGUAGUAGUAGUAGUAGUAGUAGUAGUAGUAGUGGAAGUGAUCGUAGUGGUGGUGGUGGUGGUGGUAUCAUAUUUCGAGUUUCAGCAAUAUUAGGUUGAAUUAUUAAUGGCCGUGAAAUGUAUUACACAAAUCAGAAUACUUGGUGUUAGUGAGUAUUAAGGGGUUGAAAUACUGUUGUCAUUCCCCGGGGAGUGCGCGGCGCUAAUCCCGCAGCAUGAUGAAAGGCACCAAGCACCCUUAGAGGAAAUACUAAUUACAGACUUUACAGGCAAUAAGGAGUGAACAAUAGGGUUAAUGCGUCAUUUUAAUACAAUUCAUAAAGGUUUAGCUGCUUACCACCACCACCACCAUCACUACCGCCGCCUCCUCCUCCUCCUCCUCGUCUUCUCAUAUAUCUUCCUUCGUAUGGAUCUUCUGUUUCAUCAUCAUCAUUACCAUUCUUCUUGCAGUGAUCGCCUCUCUCUUCACCCUUCCUCCUCCUCCUCCUCCUCCUCCUCCUCCUCCUCCUCCCUUGCAUUUAGUUUUUCUUCCUUCUCCUUUCCGGCUUUCCCUUACUCUUUUCCUUUUGUUCUUAGCACAUGUCUCUCUGUCUGCCUGUCUGCCUGUCUGUCUUUCUGUCUCGCCGUCGGUCUGUCUGAAUGCCUGCAUGUCUGUCUGUUUUUGUCUUUUUUUUUUGUCAGUGUCUGUCUUUGUCCGUCUGUCUGCCUGUCUCUGUCUGUCUUUCUCUAUGUAUAUAUGUAUGUAUGUAUGUAUGUAUGUAUGUAUGUAUGUGUCACCUACAUUAAUGACUAUAUGCGCCUCAAGUUACAAACUUUAAUUUACGUAAUUCGUCAUGGCGCCUGGGUCGGUCUGUGUGUGUUCAUAUUUCGUGGAAUUUGUAACGAACACUUGAUAGUUAACUUAUGGUAUUACCUCCUAUGCUUAUGAUUCCUUAAUGUACACCAAAUAUAUUAAGUCGUUAGUUUAUAUACUGAGAGGCAUAAAUGAUUAUUUUAUUUAUUUAUUUAUUUAUUUAUUUAUUUGUUUGUGAGUGGUAAAGGCGCGAAGUGUGUGAUGUGCCACAAGUCAGCAAGACACGUAGACUUUCUGUGAACACAUCAAGAAAACUUGCAAACUGAUAAAAGUUCAGACGCAAUGUUAUCAUUAAUACUUCGUUUCUGUAAUGGAAAAUGAAAGGUGAGAGGCUUCUAAAAACACCAACAUACAAAGCGAUUAAUCUUAAAUUGUGAAUUUAGUAUUAUACAAACUAAUCGUGUUGGUUACUCUUCAAGGCAGAAUUAAUCUCUCUCUCUCUCUCUCUCUCUCUCUCUCGUUGCUCUUAAGAGUGAUGUCUACUGGAUCGUGAUAUCUGGCAAUAUCUCCUUGGUUGGAAUUCUAAACCUAACCACAUACAUAUACACAUUUAUUUUCUAGUACUUCCUUUAUAAGUGUGAAUUUUGGAAUUAACACUGGACUGUGAAAAAUGAAAUAUUUAAUAUGUACGUACGUGUUUCUGGUCAGUGUAUGAAACAAAAUAAUGAACAGCAUGUGCACUGGUGGUAUACAGGCUGUAUCGCGAGUUUCUGCAAAGACUGGAAGAGGUGAAAGAACGUGUAAUUGUAAGUAGAAAAUGUUCUAUACACAUAUGCAUUUUAAGGCUUUGUUUACCCGUCAGUGGAGUUGAAAAUGUACGGGACUCGCGGGUGUGCUCUGUGACAUGACGGACACACGGUUGCAUUUAUGGGACUGGCAUUACAGUGGGCAUUUUUUUUAUUAGAUUUUUGUUGCCCUUGGCCAGUGUCCUUCCUACAAAAAAAAAAAAAAAAAAAAGUCACAGCCUCGGAGGUGCCACUUGGUCAAAAUGUGAGUGGAUUGACAUUAGCUGACCAAGACAGGACCAGAAAUUGACACCCACUUGCCACAAUAUCAGAUUGACACAGAAGAGUGAAGGACUGCCUGCUGCCUUGAUGCAAGAAAGUUUAGGCUGCCAUCUCACUCCUGCAUUGACAGCUGAUUUGUGCUGAAGCCCACCAGUCCAGUCAAGCCAGGAGGGACCAGGUGAUCAGUGCUGAGGAGUGGAGAGUGGGCUGGCAGGAAUUAGAAGCUUUAAGAGGUUCUGAAGAAGAGAUGAAGUGGAAGAUGAACCUGGGGGCUGUCAGCUUUGUGGAAUCCUGGUAAAAUUGGAGGAUGAACUCCGCUGCCUGUCAAAUCCGUCCUGAAGUGAAGUGCUCUGACUGAAUUGGGCCUUCCGUCAUCACAGUUGAAGAGAACCCAGCUCUGUCUGAACCCUGCCUGUCAGUUGCUAAACAUUGCAGAAGAUGGAGCCGUGGGUGAACCAAAGCCAUACGUGAACCCGGCAAGAAAGUGGUGUUGCUGUCCUGAGGCUCAGGAGCACCAAUUCACUGUCCACCCUCCUUCAUCAUGGAAAGAUGUGUAUGAACAAAGAAAUUACUUGAUGAAAAAUAAAACUCACUGUAAUUUGUCAAAUUUAAUAAUUGUAUUGUGAAAAAAAAAAUUAAAUUUGCUUAAUAAUUAUGACUCAAUGUAAUCUGCCUUAUAAUUGUUAGCUAGCUUUGUAAAAAAAAAAUAUUUAUAGAGAUCAAUAUCCCUGUAGUGAAGGAGGAAGGACUCAGAAAGGAGUCCUUCCUCCCUCCUUCACUACAAAAUACUUCCUCCCUCCUUCACUACAAAAUACUAAGUUUAAGGCUUCACUACAAAAUACUAAGUUUAAGGUGCGAUUUGUACAUAGAGGCACUGUCCCUCCCUGCAUUCAGGGAGGGUCAAUCUACAGGGAAAUCCAGGAGCCUCUAUGUGCAAAUCACACCUUGAACUUAAAAAAAAAUUGAGUCCUUCCUCCUUCACUACAGGGAUAUUGAGUCCUUCCUCCUUCACUACAGGGAUAUUGAGUCCUUCCUCCUUCACUACAGGGAUAUUGAGUCCUUCCUCCUUCACUACAGGGACAUUGAGUCCUUCCUCCUUCACUACAGGGACAUUGAGUCCUUCCUCCUUCACUACAGGGAUAAUCAUCUGUAUUUGCUUUCUUUUUACACAUUUUUUUUUUUUACAAAUUUCAAGAUAAUUUAAGACAAUAUUUAAAGUAAUAAUUAUACAAUACUAC
Scylla paramamosain (green mud crab) is the source of this 3654-nucleotide RNA transcript. RefSeq lists it as uncharacterized. The transcript is spliced from 2 exons. The record is from RefSeq and is a predicted model, not a curated record. Lineage: Eukaryota; Metazoa; Arthropoda; Malacostraca; Decapoda; Portunidae.